AACGAACGCUGGCGGCAUGCCUAACACAUGCAAGUCGAACGAGACCUUCGGGUCUAGUGGCGCACGGGUGCGUAACGCGUGGGAACCUGCCCUUAGGUUCGGAAUAACUCCCCGAAAGGGGUGCUAAUACCGGAUAAUGUCUUCGGACCAAAGAUUUAUCGCCUUUGGAUGGGCCCGCGUUGGAUUAGCUAGUUGUUAGGGUAAAAGCCUACCAAGGCGACGAUCCAUAGCUGGUCUGAGAGGAUGAGCAGCCACACUGGGACUGAGACACGGCCCAGACUCCUACGGGAGGAAGCAGUGGGGAAUAGUGGACAAUGGGCGAAAGCAUGAUCCAGCAAUGCCGCGUGAGUGAUGAAGGCCUUAGGGUUGUAAAGCUCUUUUACCCGGGAUGAUAAUGACAGUACCGGGAGAAUAAGCUCCGGCUAACUCCGUG
Molecule: ribosomal RNA, 433 nt
Filed under: uncultured bacterium
Lineage: Bacteria
Description: partial 16S ribosomal RNA
Rfam family: Bacterial small subunit ribosomal RNA
Source: RNAcentral